ACAUUGGGUUCCGAGACCAUCACUACUUCUAUCAACUAGCAGAAUACCCAUCUUGACACUAUGGGAAGUGCCUCAAGUCACCAUGAAUGAUUCCUUAUAUUACACACAUUAGGAGCAUAUAAUGGUAUAUUAGUAUUAUUAUUCUCUUUAGAGUAAAAGUUCAAUGUUACAAUGUAGAAUAGGCUACUAUUUCGUUAACCUUUGCCAACUGUCACUUUCAUUUGUGCAUUUGUGUAUUAGGUUUCUUAGUCUCCACCAACUACACUGCAGAAGAUUCCCAGGUUUCCUUGAUUGCUUUGUAAAGGGAAAGAAUUUCGAGUGACAUCAUCCAGCAUUUUCAUUACAAGGAAUACAAUUACCAAAAGGGAGAAAAGGAAAGGAAAGCAGAGUGAGGCAGAGGCACCAAAUCAAAAAGUAUGGAAAGAGCUUUUCUGCUUGACUCUGACUAUCCUGAUCUCUGCCUGCCCCAACCUGUGCCUGAAAUUCCAACCCCAUGGAUACAGUGCAUUAGACUUAAUCUGCCUACCUGAACACAGCUUCCGCCUUGGUUCUGAUUGGUCUCUGAACUUAAGAAGCUUGAACGAAUGAAAAAAAAGUAAUGGAAAAUCACAAAAACUGCAACUUUUUCGA
This is a long non-coding RNA of Xenopus tropicalis (tropical clawed frog), 630 nucleotides long. RefSeq lists it as uncharacterized. The record is from RefSeq and is a predicted model, not a curated record. The transcript is spliced from 3 exons. Lineage: Eukaryota; Metazoa; Chordata; Amphibia; Anura; Pipidae.